This 307-nucleotide long non-coding RNA is filed under the name Capsicum annuum. Its description in RNAcentral is "long non-coding RNA (CANN_LNC011236)". Lineage: Eukaryota; Viridiplantae; Streptophyta; Magnoliopsida; Solanales; Solanaceae. The record is from RNAcentral.
UAAAAACAAAAAAUAUAAAAUCUUUUGUAUUUUUUUAAAUUUAACCAAAAAAUUAGAAAAACAACCAAGACUCAAGACCCUACACCAUUACUUCACCAAAAACCAUGGGAACUUCCCCUCUCCACGCUUAAAAAGCUAGUUUAUCCCCAAAAUAUACUCAAAAGUAGAGAAAGAAAUACUUCUUAAAGCCUCUAGGUCUAGCUAGUAGCAUCUUUUAUUAAUAGUGAGGUUGGGUGGACCCCACACUCAGUCUUUUCCAUGCUUUUUAGCUCAGGUUUUUGGUACUCAGACUUCCCUUCAACCCAAG